GACGAACGCUGGCGGCGUGCUUAACACAUGCAAGUCGAACGGAAAGGCCCUGCUUUUGUGGGGUGCUCGAGUGGCGAACGGGUGAGUAACACGUGAGUAACCUGCCCUUGACUUUGGGAUAACUUCAGGAAACUGGGGCUAAUACCGGAUAGGAGCUCCUGCUGCAUGGUGGGGGUUGGAAAGUUUCGGCGGUUGGGGAUGGACUCGCGGCUUAUCAGCUUGUUGGUGGGGUAGUGGCUUACCAAGGCUUUGACGGGUAGCCGGCCUGAGAGGGUGACCGGCCACAUUGGGACUGAGAUACGGCCCAGACUCCUACGGGAGGCAGCAGUGGGGAAUAUUGCACAAUGGGCGGAAGCCUGAUGCAGCAACGCCGCGUGCGGGAUGACGGCCUUCGGGUUGUAAACCGCUUUCGCCUGUGACGAAGCGUGAGUGACGGUAAUGGGUAAAGAAGCACCGGCUAACUACGUGCCAGCAGCCGCGGUGAUACGUAGGGUGCGAGCGUUGUCCGGAUUUAUUGGGCGUAAAGGGCUCGUAGGUGGUUGAUCGCGUCGGAAGUGUAAUCUUGGGGCUUAACCCUGAGCGUGCUUUCGAUACGGGUUGACUUGAGGAAGGUAGGGGAGAAUGGAAUUCCUGGUGGAGCGGUGGAAUGCGCAGAUAUCAGGAGGGACACCAGUGGCGAAGGCGGUUCUCUGGGCCUUUCCUGACGCUGAGGAGCGAAAGCGUGGGGAGCGAACAGGCUUAGAUACCCUGGUAGUCCACGCUGUAAACGGUGGGUACUAGGUGUGGGGUCCAUUCCACGGGUUCCGUGCCGUAGCUAACGCUUUAAGUACCCCGCCUGGGGAGUACGGCCGCAAGGCUAAAACUCAAAGGAAUUGACGGGGCCCCGCACAAGCGGCGGAGCAUGCGGAUUAAUUCGAUGCAACGCGUAGAACCUUACCUGGGUUUGACAUGGAUCGGGAGUGCUCAGAGAUGGGUGUGCCUCUUUUGGGGUCGGUUCACAGGUGGUGCAUGGCUGUCGUCAGCUCGUGUCGUGAGAUGUUGGGUUAAGUCCCGCAACGAGCGCAACCCUUGUUCACUGUUGCCAGCACGUUAUGGUGGGGACUCAGUGGAGACCGCCGGGGUCAACUCGGAGGAAGGUGGGGAUGACGUCAAGUCAUCAUGCCCCUUAUGUCCAGGGCUUCACGCAUGCUACAAUGGCUGGUACAGAGAGUGGCGAGCCUGUGAGGGUGAGCGAAUCUCGGAAAGCCGGUCUCAGUUCGGAUUGGGGUCUGCAACACGACCUCAUGAAGUCGGAGUCGCUAGUAAUCGCAGAUCAGCAACGCUGCGGUGAAUACGUUCCCGGGGCU
This 1346-nucleotide ribosomal RNA is filed under the name uncultured bacterium. Its description in RNAcentral is "partial 16S ribosomal RNA". It matches the Rfam family "Bacterial small subunit ribosomal RNA", at positions 28 to 1381 of the family's 1533-position model. The record is from RNAcentral.